RNAcentral lists this ribosomal RNA (481 nucleotides) under uncultured bacterium. RNAcentral describes it as "partial 16S ribosomal RNA". It matches the Rfam family "Bacterial small subunit ribosomal RNA", at positions 28 to 507 of the family's 1533-position model. The record is from RNAcentral.
GAUGAACGCUGGCGGCGUGCCUAACACAUGCAAGUCGAACGGAGAUUACGGACGGAAGUUUUCGGAUGGAAGCCUGUAAUUCUUAGUGGCGGACGGGUGAGUAACGCGUGGGCAACCUGCCCUAUACAGGGGGAUAGCAGCUGGAAACGGCUGGUAAGACCGCAUAAGUCGGUUAAAUCGCAUGAUUUGAUCGGGAAAUGAGCAAUCAGGUAUAGGAUGGGCCCGCGUCCGAUUAGCCAGUUGGCAGGGUAAAAGCCUACCAAAGCGACGAUCGGUAGCCGGACUGAGAGGUCGGACGGCCACAUUGGGACUGAGACACGGCCCAAACUCCUACGGGAGGCAGCAGUGGGGGAUAUUGCACAAUGGAGGAAACUCUGAUGCAGCGACGCCGCGUGAGUGAAGAAGUAUUUCGGUAUGUAAAGCUCUAUCAGCAGGGAAGAUGAUGACGGUACCUGACUGAGAAGCCCCGGCUAACUACGUG